This is a long non-coding RNA of Bolinopsis microptera, 346 nucleotides long. RefSeq lists it as uncharacterized. The transcript is spliced from 3 exons. The record is from RefSeq and is a predicted model, not a curated record. NCBI's taxonomy places the organism in Eukaryota, Metazoa, Ctenophora, Tentaculata, Lobata, Bolinopsidae.
CAAAAGCGAUGGUGGUGGGCUUUAUCUCAUCAGAAGAUUUGAUUCAGCUCACAUCUCUGAUGCCAAAGAUUAGUGGACGAGCAGAGCUUGUUUCCCAGCUGAUAGAAUCUUUUCUUCUAACAGACAAAAUGGAGAUUGUUGAACCUAACGACAUUUGUGGGCUCCAGCUCAUGGAGUUUCACUCUAAAGAGUAUGUUGAUACCUUGGAAAGUUACUCCCAUCAAUCAGAAGAUGAACAGAGAUUAAAACAGUUUGGGCUGGAGUUUGACUGUCCACCAUUUCCCAAGAUGUUUAGAACGGUUUGUGCUAUCGGUGGAGCUUCAAUUACUGCUGCAGACGAAUUGGG